UCUCUCUCUCUCUCUCUCUACUCUCUCUCUCUUUAAAAAAGAGAGAGAGAGAGAGAGAGAGAGAGAGAGAGA
Molecule: microRNA precursor, 72 nt
Filed under: Marmota monax (woodchuck)
Lineage: Eukaryota; Metazoa; Chordata; Mammalia; Rodentia; Sciuridae
Source: RNAcentral